Tympanuchus pallidicinctus (lesser prairie-chicken) is the source of this 2937-nucleotide long non-coding RNA. RefSeq lists it as uncharacterized. The record is from RefSeq and is a predicted model, not a curated record. NCBI's taxonomy places the organism in Eukaryota, Metazoa, Chordata, Aves, Galliformes, Phasianidae. The transcript has 2 exons.
UUAAGCGAGGUUUAAAAGUGGGGAUGUAGCACAGAUUCUCGAUUUGGGACAUUCGCUGUCAGUGCCCCGAAGCGAGAAGAUAGAAGGAGACCUCGGGUGUAAACUUGAGUCUGAUCCCAGUAGGAGCAUGAAUAACAAUAAUAAAGUUUCCCGGCUUUUGUUUUCAAACUAACACGUUACAUCGAGGGUGCACCGUUGGUAGUUUUUCUCAGCAAUUAUGUAACUAACCGCUGCUUUUGGUGCUGCGCUGCACAGAUUAAUGCACACCUGAAAUUCUCUGAGCCCGUCCGGAUUUGUGGCCCGGGUUAAGGAGGGAGAAAGCAGAGUGCUGCGGGAACCGCGGGCGGGGGACGCUCGGGGCCGACACCAACAGGGCGCUGAGACGGCAUGGAGCGGGGAGAAGGCGUCUUCCACACUUCGUUUGAAGGGAUAGAGCGUCUGGGCUGAUCGCUGGGACGAUCAUGUCACUCCCGAGAGAAAAGAGCUGCUUUAGGGAGAGAAAAAGUGAUUCUUCGUGGAGUUCAGUGUAUUUCUGCAAUGCCGCAUCUCAAAGAAAAGGCCUCGUAACAGAUUCUUACAUUGUGUCAAACUGUAACAAACUGAAUCGCGAAAAGCAAUUACAAAGCAAAUAUUGUGAUCGGUGCGGUGGGUAACAUCGGAGCCGGAUUUAGAGAGGAAUAUUAACUCUGAUUUUUUUUUUCUUAACCAAUAGUGUAUAAAUUUGUGCUCAGUCUGAAGCCCUUUUCCUGUAGAUGGCGUUCUCUGGGUACGAGCGAUCGACGGCAAUGCAGCCGCGCUCGGAAGACUUCAUUAAUCCGCAGAUAACAAAAUAAUUAAUAAUCUUUCUUUAGUUAUAUGUAUAUUGAAAGUGGAAAAAAAAAUCUACAUUGAUUUAUCGUAAGCAAAAGCGUGUUUCUGCCUCACGUGAACGAAAAUAAAAACUGUUUGAAUAAAUAAGUUGUUUCUGAGCAUUUUGUUGUCAAAGUGUUAAAUGUCCCCGUCAUUUUUAUUCCAACACUAACGUGAUUACAGCCAAUUAUAUAUUCACCAGUGUUCUUUAUUUUAGAGUAAUUGUACUUGUCACUAAUAAAACAGAGACAUAAUGGAUCGCUACUAUUCUGAAUUUUAAAGCAAUUGUCUGUAAUUUGAUUGAAUUAUAUGUCGUCUUCUCUACUUUUUUAUUUCUGUAUUUUGAAAUCCUAUUUUCCUGAAAAUUACAGCUCUGUUCCUGUUUUGUUGUUCCUGAAGUAACGAAACCUCCUGUAACAUUUAUAAAUAGAGCCCCGUCCCUUUGGAAACGUGGAAAAUCAUAAUUUCGGCCCCAACGCGCUAAAGGCUUUGCACGUAAAUCCGGGUGUCCGGGGAAGCGCGGGGCUCAGCGCUGGGCGCGGCGGGACGCCCUCCGCGGGGAAGAGAAGCCCCAGCAGAGGGAACAACACCGCACCGCGCACGACGGGGUUCGCUCUUUUUAUCGUAGUGGUUCGUCGCGCUCCAUCUGGCUCAGGCACCAAAGCACGUCAAGACGAGUUCAGUUCCUAAUGUUUACAUGGGAAAACAGGUAAGGACACAGAUAAAAAAUGAAUUUGACUCCAAUUGCAUUCCUCCAGGCAAUUGGACUGAUUAUCCAUAUCCUGUUUGUAUAUUUCUUUAGGUGAUGGUCAUAGGUAAAGAGUCUGAGAGUUCCUUGAGUAUCCCUAGUCAGAGACAAUACAGAUAUCGAAUGACAUCGGCGCUGCACAAGCAGGAAAUAUUGCGCUGUGUUAUUACGGUGCUCUUUGGGUUGUUUUGUUGAGGAUGAGCUCUCAGAGGGCUGUUUUUUUGUUGCCGUUUCUCAAAGCCGAAAACAUGCCUUUAAUUUAGCAAUUGUACCAACCAUCAACGCAAUAAGAUAUGAUCUGCGUUGUCGCCAAACACAAAUCAAAAAAUGAUACAAAGGCUUUCACAAGUUAAUUUCAGAUGACAAAACACGUGCCCACCACAACAGAGAAAGUUAAACUAUCAUUUGCGAAUUGUGCGGUUGCGUGAAGAGGUAUCUGCUAGGUACGCUAAGCACAGGCAAACACGGUCUGUCUGCAGUUCUUUGCACUGAAGGCAAGGAGAAGAUGUGUCAUGGGAUGCAGGCGACUCUCGUAAGGGGCUCUUUCUGAAGCUCAGCGAGAAAUGAGCAGGACCCUCAGGGAGAAAAUGUUUUUUUGUAGAUUCGGUACUUAAUACAACUGCAAAACUAGUUUGUAGCCGCCUUGGGAGGAAAAACAAACCCAGCCUGUUCCUAAAUGGGUAUGGUCUGUCCAGUCCAACGUGGACGAGGGCUAUGAGCCUUUUAUCUACACUUUUGUUACUGACGUUUUGCAACGAGCUGGCAAAUAAAGUGCAAUGCCAUCCUCUCACUUGGGCAAAAUAUUUAUUUGUUGGAGUUUUCCAAGCUACGGCAUGAUUUCAUUGUUCAGGUGGAGUUUAUAGAUCAUUUCUAAUAAACAUUGUUUUCUGAAACUCCCUGGGGAAACAGAGCCUCAGUGCGUAUGUGUGUGCGUGUGUGUGUGUGUAUGUGUGUGUGUGUGUGUGUGUGCAAGCCUAUGGGGAGCCCCAUCUGAAAGAUGGAGAGGAGCAAACACACAAAGGAGAUGGUGCAUCCCGGAAGAAGUGCUUCUUUCAACAUUUUUUCUCUCCAUAAUGUCACCGCUCAGAAAUCGAUGUGCAGCCGCUUCUCGGUCAGAUUACCGCUGAGGCAAAACCACCACCCCAGGCUGUAGCCAGGCACGGUCCGCUCACGGUGGGAGGGACGCGGACGAGAUUUAACUUGUUGCCAGUCGGUUUUGUGUGUUUGUUUGUUUGUGCUGCUGGUUUAAAAGCGAAACAAACUCCAGAAAAAAAAAAAAAAAAAAAAAAAAAAAGCGGGGGGUGGAGGGUGGGCUGGGGAGAGAGGGAGGAGGAAAACAA